AGAUUGAACGCUGGCGGCAGGCCUAACACAUGCAAGUCGAACGGUAACAGGAAGAAGCUUGCUUCUUUGCUGACGAGUGGCGGACGGGUGAGUAAUGUCUGGGAAACUGCCUGAUGGAGGGGGAUAGCUACUGGAAACGGUAGCUAAUACCGCAUAACGUCGCAAGACCAAAGAGGGGGACCUUCGGGCCUCUUGCCAUCGGAUGUGCCCAGAUGGGAUUAGCUAGUAGGUGGGGUAACGGCUCACCUAGGCGACGAUCCCUAGCUGGUCUGAGAGGAUGACCAGCCACACUGGAACUGAGACACGGUCCAGACUCCUACGGGAGGCAGCAGUGGGGAAUAUUGCACAAUGGGCGCAAGCCUGAUGCAGCCAUGCCGCGUGUAUGAAGAAGGCCUUCGGGUUGUAAAGUACUUUCAGCGGGGAGGAAGGGAGUAAAGUUAAUACCUUUGCUCAUUGACGUUACCCGCAGAAGAAGCACCGGCUAACUCCGUGCCAGCAGCCGCGGUAAUACGGAGGGUGCAAGCGUUGAUCGGAAUUACUGGGCGUAAAGCGCACGCAGGCGGUUUGUUAAGUCAGAUGUGAAAUCCCCCGGGCUCAACCUGGGAACUGCAUCUGAUACUGGCAAGCUUGAGUCUCGUAGAGGGGGGGUAGAAUUCCAGGUGUAGCGGUGAAAUGCGUAGAGAUCUGGAGGAAUACCGGUGGCGAAGGCGGCCCCCUGGACGAAGACUGACGCUCAGGUGC
This 741-nucleotide ribosomal RNA is filed under the name uncultured Escherichia sp. Its description in RNAcentral is "bacterial SSU rRNA". It matches the Rfam family "Bacterial small subunit ribosomal RNA", at positions 26 to 754 of the family's 1533-position model. Lineage: Bacteria; Pseudomonadati; Pseudomonadota; Gammaproteobacteria; Enterobacterales; Enterobacteriaceae. The record is from RNAcentral.